GCCACACCCCCCAACCUUGUGGACCGACCCUGCCUGCGGCUGAAAGUUUACGUGCGUCCAACCAAUGAGACCCUGUAUGAGGCCCCAGAGCCCAUCUUCACCAGUAACAGCUCCUGCAGCGGCCUGGGUGGCUGCCACCUCUUCCUCACUACAGUCCCUGUGCUGUGGUCCCUACUGGGCUCCUAGUGUCCAGCCCCACCUGGACCCCUUGACCUUCGCCCUCUGACCUGCCACGGCCACCUCCGAGACAAAAUCCUUGCUGCUUCUCUUUCAUGGUGCUGUCCCUCCGGAGGAGGCCAUCGACCGGUCCCUGGGAUGCAACAUGGGGUCCCAGUGCCUGAGACUGAGAUCCAGGCUGAGCCACUUUUGCCAGGACCACCAGGGCCGUCCAGUGUUGUUUGAUUACGGUCAGAAAGACUUAGGGUUUCUCUUUUAAUUUAAUUUAUUCCCUGAUAUUGCUGGUGACAUUGGGAAGGAAACAAGUCACAGGGGUGA
Molecule: long non-coding RNA, 495 nt
Filed under: Rattus norvegicus (Norway rat)
Lineage: Eukaryota; Metazoa; Chordata; Mammalia; Rodentia; Muridae
Description: long non-coding RNA NONRATT026509
Source: RNAcentral